This 265-nucleotide long non-coding RNA is filed under the name Capsicum annuum. RNAcentral describes it as "long non-coding RNA (CANN_LNC002881)". Lineage: Eukaryota; Viridiplantae; Streptophyta; Magnoliopsida; Solanales; Solanaceae. The record is from RNAcentral.
AUAAAGCAAAGUGAUGGUCUAAGAUGAAGCUCUUUGUCUGUUCACUUACAAGUCCAGCAUUGAUGUGGUAUGCAAACAAAGGCCCUAGCGACUGGGUUUCUUGGAAUCCUUUGACAACUGGUUUUAUUAGGCAGUUUGACAAUAAGCUUAAAAGAAAGCUCACAGUAGAGGCAAAUUUGGUUAGGCCACAAUCCAAGAAUAAGGGAAAGAAAAUUAUCGAGGAGGCAUUCAAACCUUCAAAGCCUGAAAUAAGCGCACCUCAACC